AGCCACGCUGCUUCUCACGCCCACUGGGUGCCAGGCACUGAGGAGCAGGUGAGCAGCCCGUGCCCGCCGCCGGCCCCCACCUGCCCCGGCGUGGACGACCGAGGUGGCCCCCGGCGUGGUGCCGCCAGCGUCCGGGGGCCCGGCGGCUCCCCCGCAGCCCCCAGCGUCCUGGCUUCCUGACCCACCCCGUCGGAAGGCCCCUGGCCGGGCGUGCCCAUCGGAACUGGUUGAGGGGGCGGACGUGGCGUGGGCGGUGGUUCGGCGGGCCCCCUUCACCCCCACGGUGGGAUGGGCCUGGACACCAUUGGAGAGCGGGUGGGGGAGAGGGUCCGCUUCCACCGCCCUCCCACCUCAAAGCACAAGCUCCCCCCGGGCACGCGGAUCCCGGCCGAUUUCUCGGGGGCCGGGGGUGGGCGGCCACCGGGCCGUUGGGUGUCCGUCAGGGAUCCGGCCGAGUCGUGCCGCCUGGGGUGCCCCCCUGGAGCGGGGUGGGUGCCGGCACGGAGGACCUUCCCGCCGGCCCACUAAAAAUGCACUAGACGUGAGUUUGGGAAUCCAGGCACCCUCCACGCCGGAGGGUUCCUCCGUUUCCUUAGAUUAAAGGACAGAGUUAAAUAGAUGAGAUAGAUGAAUAUAUACGUAUAUUUUUUUUGAGUAAGUUGCGAUGGGCUCACGAGGCUCUGACCUGAGACGGUGCAGGGAAGCGACCCCGGCCGAGCCCCGUGAACCGAACCGAGGGUGCUGACGUUCCGUCGUCGCGUGGCUCUCUGCCUUGGGAUGGGCGGGCGGGCAGUGCUCGGCGAUUUGUCGGCAGCGAUAAUAAAAAGAUUUCACGGCA
Molecule: long non-coding RNA, 838 nt
Organism: Tachyglossus aculeatus (Australian echidna)
Lineage: Eukaryota; Metazoa; Chordata; Mammalia; Monotremata; Tachyglossidae
Exons: 2
Source: RefSeq, a predicted model, not a curated record